ACUCCUACGGAGGCAGCAGUGGGGAAUAUUGCACAAUGGGCGCAAGCCUGAUGCAGCCAUGCCGCGUGUAUGAAGAAGGCCUUCGGGUUGUAAAGUACUUUCAGCAGUGAGGAAGGUGGGUAUGUUAAUAGCAUACUCAUUUGACGUUAGCUGCAGAAGAAGCACCGGCUAACUCCGUGCCAGCAGCCGCGGUAAUACGGAGGGUGCGAGCGUUAAUCGGAAUUACUGGGCGUAAAGCGCAUGCAGGUGGUUUGUUAAGUCAGAUGUGAAAGCCCGGGGCUCAACCUCGGAAUUGCAUUUGAAACUGGCAAACUAGAGUACUGUAGAGGGGGGUAGAAUUUCAGGUGUAGCGGUGAAAUGCGUAGAGAUCUGAAGGAAUACCGGUGGCGAAGGCGGCCCCCUGGACAGAUACUGACACUCAGAUGCGAAAGCGUGGGGAGCAAACAGGAUUAUAUACCCUGGGAGGCUCUGC
RNAcentral lists this ribosomal RNA (472 nucleotides) under uncultured bacterium. Its description in RNAcentral is "bacterial SSU rRNA". It matches the Rfam family "Bacterial small subunit ribosomal RNA", at positions 335 to 800 of the family's 1533-position model. The record is from RNAcentral.